Non-coding RNA from Myotis lucifugus (little brown bat), 72 nucleotides. The record is from Rfam. Lineage: Eukaryota; Metazoa; Chordata; Mammalia; Chiroptera; Vespertilionidae.
GCUGGUGUGGCUCAGUGGGUAGAGCGCCAGCCUGUGGGCUGAAGGAUCCAGGUUCGAUUCCAGUCAAGGGCA